Molecule: ribosomal RNA, 691 nt
Filed under: uncultured bacterium
Lineage: Bacteria
Description: bacterial SSU rRNA
Rfam family: Bacterial small subunit ribosomal RNA
Source: RNAcentral
CGAUGUGUGCUAGACGUUGGAAACUUAGUUUUCAGUGUCGCAGCGAAAGCAUUAAGCACACCGCCUGGGGAGUACGACCGCAAGGUUAAAACUCAAAUGAAUUGACGGGGGCCCGCACAAGCGGUGGAGCAUGUGGUUUAAUUCGAUGCAACGCGAAAAACCUUACCUAUGCUUGACAUACUUGGAAUACUUUGUAAUGAAGUAGUGCCUUCGGGAGCCAAGAUACAGGUGCUGCAUGGCUGUCGUCAGCUCGUGUCGUGAGAUGUUCCGUUAAGUCGGAUAACGAGCGCAACCCUUACCCUUAUUUGCCAGCGAUUCGGUCGGGAACUAUAAGGGGACUGCCGGUGAUAAACCGGAGGAAGGUGAGGACGACGUCAAGUCAUCAUGGCCCUUACGCAUAGGGCUACACACGUGCUACAAUGGAGAAUACAGACGGACGCUAAGCCGCGAGGUGGUGCCAAUCCUAGAAAAUUCUUCGUAGUCCGGAUUGGAGUCUGCAACUCGACUCCAUGAAGCCGGAAUCGCUAGUAAUCGCGAAUCAGCAUGUCGCGGUGAAUACGUUCUCGGGUCUUGUACACACCGCCCGUCAUACCAUGGAAGUGGAUUGCACCAGAAGUAGAUAGUCUAACCUUAGGGAGGGCGUUUACCACGGUGUGGUUCAUGACUGGGGUAAAGUCGUAACAAGGUAACC